UGGCUUGAUGAGAUGGAAUCGGGGGUUAAGGAAAUGAGUUUUGAUGAAAUGCGACAGCUGAAU
Molecule: small nucleolar RNA, 63 nt
Filed under: Fusarium poae
Lineage: Eukaryota; Fungi; Ascomycota; Sordariomycetes; Hypocreales; Nectriaceae
Description: Small nucleolar RNA sR33
Rfam family: Small nucleolar RNA sR33
Source: Rfam by way of RNAcentral